UAACACUAUCGGAUACACACAACAUCUCAUCACUUUUCAUAAUUCGAUGUUCAUUUCUCCCCAAAUCGAUUACCAUCCCUCCUUAACCCUCAUCGAACAAUAGCUCCGCUGUCGGCCAUGGUUCCACUGGCGAUGGCUGCCCGUUGUCAGUCUGAAAGAUAAUCCUAGGCUCGCCCUUGUGUUUCUUUGGUACCCUGUUGUGUCGCCUCGCUUCGGUCUCUCCCUAGAAGUCGAGUGAUUCACAUUUGGCUACACAACAUUUGUUUUCUAUUCACCUGUCGUCAGUUGGUGCCGGCGCCGGCGCCGGCUUAUUGUGCAGGUGGCAUGCUGAAUGAGGUUGGUGUCCUGUGAUUGAGGUUGGGUCCCAUGGAUCCUGGUCCGUCUCCCUCUUACGCUGAUGGAGUGUGCCUUCCAAUUCACGCUUGCUCGCCCGCCAACUGCUCGUCAAAAUACCUCAACUGCUUCUAGACAAUGAAGUCUGCUGAUUAUAUCAAAGCAAAGGAUAGACCAAGAAAGUUUGGUAACAUACGUAUCACCAACAAGUGGAUGCAGGUAUCAAAUAAUUCAUUGAUAUACCGAUGCUUAGAAGCGAAAUACAAGGAGGUGAGGCAAAUGUCCUUUACUUGUUCAUUCAUUUGAGAUUGAUUGUUACAACUAGUGCUCUCCUAUCAAGAAUUUCUUGGAUCUUGAUUAAGAAAAGGUUUUGGUUUAUUUUUGUGUAACAAGACUCUUAAAAUAACCAAGUUUUCCUUGCUUUGGAGUGAGAAGAACCACCAUUGUCCGUUUUGCGUGUUUAGUACCCUGAAUGACCCCAUCAUGGAGUUCCAAAAGAUACUCUUGUAGUGCAAACUAUGUAAGAAUUGGAGGAAGUACUAGAUUUGUAUCAUUUUUUAGUUAAGAUGACAGGCUUGCAAUCAUCCAUGAUUUUUCAGAAUUAAAUAGUAACAAUUAGAUGACAUUCAUAAUUUUUAAUUAGAACUUAUUGUGAAAUGUCCAAGAGCAUAAGUGGAAUAUUAGAUAUGGCAGACAUCAUUAAGAUGUGAUGUUUGCGAUGUUAUUCCGAGAAAUUGAGGUUGUCAGCAAUUUAUAGUCGGAGUUGAUGUUGGUGUAUUGACUGACUUAAACUAAUAGAAACAUGAGAGUUUCAUCAACUUCAUACGUGUUGCUUUUGAAAGCGUAGUUAUGAUGAAGGUCAUAGGAAAAAAGCUUAGCUAGGUUAAAGACAUAAUUUACAUGUUUGAGAUGUCCUUUGAUGUUUAGUUACUUCCGUCAUGACAUACUAAAGAAUUUUAAUAUUUUGUCAUUUGAUCGGGAUUCAUCUGUUGCGUGAAACAUGCCCUGGAACAAAAUAUACCUUAUUAUUGCAGGUUUACCUAAGUCAAAUGAAUAUAUAUUUGUUGAGGCUAACGGUGGUUAAAUCAACAGAGUACAUCGGUAUAUUUUCGUGGAUAACAAUGUUUAUGUAUCAUGUUAAAAGUUUGCUUUUUUAUGUUUGGGAGUUAUGGAAAUGCAGUAUCUCACUUAUUUUGAUUUUUUUAGAUAUGCAAUGUUGUAGUUGUGGCAUGCUACCUCAAUGCAACCCCAUUAUCCAAGGUGAUACCCUAGCCCUUGUCAAGAUAUUUGCUACUGCUGUUACGGUCCCAGAGAGACCGCACUUAUUCUCCUAAAUAAUGCCGGAGCGAAGAUCCUCGAUGAGGUGCUCGACGGAGAUAACAUCAAGUGCACUUACAAGGAUGUACACAUUUUUUUUUAAAUGUUUAUUCUUUUGGGAAUUAAAUUACUUUAGUUGCUAAUAUAAUUCUUAUAUAUCAUUGGAAACACAUUGCAGUUGGUUCACUGCCUUUGAUUGCUUCCUUUGUGAUUUUGCACUCAAUGAGCUUGGUCGUUCAUAACUGUAUUUGUUAGUCGACCUUAGGAUAGUACUGCAGUUUGAUACUAUAUCUAUUUAUUCACGUAUUACUUUUGGAUUUGGGAAUCAAGAGUUAGCAAGUUGUUAGUUGGUUGUUAUGGUGUAUGGCAUGGUGAUUUUUGGAGAUGCUUUAAAAGCACUGUUGACGCCUAGUAUUCUAUUUUUGAUAUGAAAACGAAUGUUGUUGGAUUGAUGUUGUUCUAUAGGUAUGAACAAUUAUUUCAGAUUAAUUACAAUAAAAUUGUG
This is an RNA transcript of Andrographis paniculata, 2155 nucleotides long. RefSeq lists it as uncharacterized. NCBI's taxonomy places the organism in Eukaryota, Viridiplantae, Streptophyta, Magnoliopsida, Lamiales, Acanthaceae. The transcript has 4 exons. The record is from RefSeq and is a predicted model, not a curated record.